UAACGCGUGGGUAACCUGCCUUAUACAGGGGGAUAACAGUUAGAAAUGACUGCUAAUACCGCAUAAGCGCACAGUACCGCAUGGUAGUGUGUGAAAAACUCCGGUGGUAUAAGAUGGACCCGCGUCUGAUUAGCCAGUUGGCGGGGUAACGGCCCACCAAAGCGACGAUCAGUAGCCGACCUGAGAGGGUGACCGGCCACAUUGGGACUGAGACACGGCCCAAACUCCUACGGGAGGCAGCAGUGGGGAAUAUUGCACAAUGGGGGAAACCCUGAUGCAGCAACGCCGCGUGAGUGAAGAAGUAUUUCGGUAUGUAAAGCUCUAUCAGCAGGGAAGAAGAUGACGGUACCUGAUUAAGAAGCCCCGGCUAACUACGUGCCAGCAGCCGCGGUAAUACGUAGGGGGCAAGCGUUAUCCGGAUUUACUGGGUGUAAAGGGAGCGCAGACGGCAGUGCAAGUCUGGAGUGAAAGCCCGGGGCCCAACCCCNGAACUGCUCUGGAAACUGUGCGGCUAGAGUACUGGAGGGGCAGGCGGAAUUCCUAGUGUAGCGGUGAAAUGCGUAGAUAUUAGGAGGAACACCAGUGGCGAAGGCGGCCUGCUGGACAGUAACUGACGUUGAGGCUCGAAAGCGUGGGGAGCAAACAGGAUUAGAUACCCUGGUAGU
This 665-nucleotide ribosomal RNA is filed under the name uncultured bacterium. RNAcentral describes it as "bacterial SSU rRNA". It matches the Rfam family "Bacterial small subunit ribosomal RNA", at positions 111 to 794 of the family's 1533-position model. The record is from RNAcentral.